GAUGAACGCUAGCGGCAGGCCUAAUACAUGCAAGACGAACGGUAAGUUGAGUAGCAAUACUUAGCCAAGAGUGUCGUACGGGUGCGUAACACGUAUGCAACCUACCCUAUACAGGAGGAUAGCCUAGGGAAACCUGGAUUAACCCUUCAUAGUAUUAUUGGAUGGCAUCAUUUGAUAAUUAAAACUGAGGUGGUAUAGGAUGGGCAUGCGUCUGAUUAGUUAGUUGGCGGGGUAAUGGCCCACCAAGACGAUGAUCAGUAGGGGUUCUGAGAGGAAGAUCCCCCACACUGGCACUGAGAUACGGGCCAGACUCCUACGGGAGCAGCAGUAGGAAUAUUGGUCAAGUGGAUGCAAGUCUGAACCAGCCAUGCCGCGUGCAGGAAGAAGGCCUU
Molecule: ribosomal RNA, 392 nt
Filed under: uncultured bacterium
Lineage: Bacteria
Description: bacterial SSU rRNA
Rfam family: Bacterial small subunit ribosomal RNA
Source: RNAcentral